Molecule: ribosomal RNA, 793 nt
Filed under: uncultured bacterium
Lineage: Bacteria
Description: bacterial SSU rRNA
Rfam family: Bacterial small subunit ribosomal RNA
Source: RNAcentral
AGAGUUUGAUCCUGGCUCAGGAUGAACGCUAGCGGCAGGCUUAAUACAUGCAAGUCGUGGGGCAUCGCGGGUAGCAAUACCUGGCGGCGACCGGCAAACGGGUGCGGAACACGUACGGAACCUUCCUUUAAGCGGGGAAUAGCCCAGGGAAACUUGGAUUAAUACCCCAUAAGAUCAUCGGGUGGCAUCACCUGGUGAUUAAAGCUCCGGCACUUAAAGAUGGGCGUGCGGCUGAUUAGGUAGUUGGCGGGGUAACGGCCCACCAAGCCGACGAUCAGUAACUGGUGUGAGAGCACGACCAGUCACACGGGCACUGAGACACGGGCCCGACUCCUACGGGAGGCAGCAGUAAGGAAUAUUGGUCAAUGGACGCAAGUCUGAACCAGCCAUGCCGCGUGGAGGAUGAAGGCCCUCUGGGUUGUAAACUUCUUUUAUUAGGGAAGAAACCUCGACUUUCCAGUUGAGUUGACGGUACCUGAUGAAUAAGCACCGGCUAACUCCGUGCCAGCAGCCGCGGUAAUACGGAGGGUGCAAGCGUUAUCCGGAUUCACUGGGUUUAAAGGGUGCGUAGGUGGGCAGGUAAGUCAGUGGUGAAAUCUCCGGGCUUAACCCGGAAACUGCCGUUGAUACUAUCUGUCUUGAAUGUAGUGGAGGUGAGCGGAAUAUGUCAUGUAGCGGUGAAAUGCUUAGAUAUGACAUAGAACAUCUAUUGCGAAGGCAGCUCGCUACACUACGAUUGACACUGAGGCACGAAAGCGUGGGGAUCAAACAGGAUUAGAUACCCCAGUAGUCC